This 257-nucleotide small RNA is filed under the name Salmonella enterica subsp. enterica serovar Typhi. Its description in RNAcentral is "StyR-6". The record is from RNAcentral. Lineage: Bacteria; Pseudomonadati; Pseudomonadota; Gammaproteobacteria; Enterobacterales; Enterobacteriaceae.
AUUGAACGAACUUGUCGCUAAAAUUCACCCACAUAGCAAACAUCGCGGUGCUGUAAGUAAUUCGUUCACAAAGGCGCUCCGGCAACGGGGCGCUUUCUAUUGAUCAACAAGCUGGAACGGCAGCUCAAUAAAGUGCAGCACAAAGGCGAAGCCCGUCGUGCCACCGCAUCGGUGAAAGAUGCCAGCUUCGUCGAAGCAGAAGAAGAGUAGUCCCUUACAUUGAGUGUAUCGCCAACGCGCCUUCGGGCGCGUUUUUU